Molecule: ribosomal RNA, 422 nt
Filed under: uncultured bacterium
Lineage: Bacteria
Description: bacterial SSU rRNA
Rfam family: Bacterial small subunit ribosomal RNA
Source: RNAcentral
AAUUUUGGACAAUGGGCGAAAGCCUGAUCCAGCCAUUCCGCGUGAGUGAAGAAGGCCCUCGGGUCGUAAACCUCUGUCGGGAGGGAAGAACGGUUACCGUUCGAAUAGGACGGGAGCCUGACGGUACCUCCAAAGGAAGCGCCGGCUAACUCCGUGCCAGCAGCCGCGGUAAUACGGAGGGUGCAAGCGUUGUUCGGAAUCAUUGGGCGUAAAGCGCGUGUAGGCGGCUUGGCAAGUCGGUUGUGAGAGCCCGGGGCCCAACCCCGGAAUUGCAUCUGAAACUGCCUCGCUAGAGUCCCGGAGAGGAAGGCAGAAUUCCCGGUGUAGGGGUGAAAUCCGUAGAUAUCGGGAGGAAUACCAGCGGCGAAGGCGGCCUUCUGGACGGUGACUGACGCUGAGACGCGAAAGCGUGGGGAGCAAAC